UGCCGCCCUGAAGGGCGUAUGGUGGAUGCCUUGGCAGACAGUACCGAUGAAGGACGUUUGAGGAUGCGAUAAGCCUCGGGGAGCCUCCAACAUGGCUUCGAUCCGAGGAUUUCCGAAUGGGGCAACCCGCCGGCCGUCAUGGGCCGGCACGGAACCUUGUUGUUCCGGGGGUACGCAGGGAAGUGAAACAUCUCAGUACCUGCAGGAAGGGAUACUCCGUGAGUAGUGGCGAGCGAAAGCGGAUCAGACCAAACCAUGGGCGCGUGAUACCCGUCGGGGGUUGCGUUCGUGGUGUUGAGGGAGCGUGUGUCCCGGUUCCGACGGACCGGGCGGGAGUCAUAAAACGGCUUGCCAGGGGAACAGGCUUGAAGGCCUGGCCGCAGAGGGUGCCAGCCCCGUACCUGGAAGCUUGCCGUCUUCCGAUCAUGUGUCCCAAGUAGCGCGGGCCUCGUGGAAUCCCGUGUGAAUCGGCCCCGACCGUGGGGUAAGUCUAAGCAUACCUGUCUGACCGAUAGCGUACCAGUACCGUGAGGGAAAGGUGAAAAGCACCCCGGGAGGGGAGUGAAAGAGUUCCUGAAACCGUGCGCCUACAAUCCGUCGGAGCCUCCUUGUGGGGUGACGGCGUGCCUAUCGAAAAAUGAGUCUGCGAGUCAGUGGUGCGUGGCGAGGCUAACCCGUGGUGGGGGAGCCGUAGCGAAGGCGAGUCUCAAAAGGCGUUUUGAGUCGCGCGCCCUGGACCCGAAGCGGGAUGAUCUAGCCCUGGGCAGGUUGAAGCGCGGGUAAGACCGCGUGGAGGACCGAACCCACCUGGGUUGAAAACCGGGGGGAUGACCUGGGGCUAGGGGUGAAAGGCCAAUCAAAUUCCGUGAUAGCUGGUUCUCUCCGAAAUGCAUUUAGGUGCAGCGUCGGUUGAUUGCAUCGCGGGGGUAGAGCUACUGGAUGCUUGCGGGCCCGUGUCGGGUACCAAUAGCAGCCAAACUCCGAAUACCGUGGAUGUGUAUUCCGGCAGUGAGUCGGCGGGGGAUAAGCUCCGUCGUCGAGAGGGAGACAGCCCAGAUCGUCGUCUAAGGUCCCGAAGCGUGUGCUAAGUGGGAAAGGAUGUGGAGUCGCAUAGACAGCCAGGAGGUUGGCUCAGAAGCAGCCAUCCUUGAAAGAGUGCGUAACAGCUCACUGGUCUAGUGGUUCCGCGCCGACAAUGUAGCGGGGCUCAAGCACACCACCGAAGACGCGGCAACGGUCGUAUGGCCGUUGGGUAGGAGAGCGUCCCGCGUGGGGCGAAGCGGCCGGGGAACCGUGCCGUGGACCGCGCGGGAGUGAGAAUGCAGACAUGAGUAGCGAGAGACGGGUGAGGAUCCCGUCCGCUGGAUGACCAAGGGUUCCGGGGCCACGUUCGUCGUCCCCGGGUGAGUCGGGUCCUAAGGCGAGGCCGACAGGCGUAGUCGAAUGGAUGAACGGGUGGAUAUUCCCGUACCGGCGGCGUACCGUAAGAGCCGAACGGAUGAGUACUAACCUCCGGUCGCGUGGCGUCGUUCCCUUCGGGGUUCGGGGUCCGCGGUCGUUGGGAGCGUAGUCCUGGUAGGCUAGCGCACAGGGGUGACACGGAAUGGGAGCCGGCCGCGGAGGUGGUUUUCCGUGGUCAAGCACGCAGCCCGUCCCAUAGGCAAAUCCGUGGGACGCAUAGGGUGAGGUGUGAUGAUGGGCGUCCUUUGGACGCGAUAUCCGGUGGUCCAGGCCGUCGAGAAAAGCCUCGGCGCGAGGGGCGUCGCCGCCCGUACCCCAAACCGACACUGGUGGUCAGGUAGAGAAUACCAAGGCGAUCGAGCGAAUCCUGGUCAAGGAACUCGGCAAAUCACUCCCGUGCCUUCGGUAUAAGGGAGACCCCCGGGCGUGAAGAGGCUUGCCCUCGGAGCGUUGGGGGGUGGCACAGACCAGGGGGUAGCGACUGUUUACCAAAAACACAGGUGCAUGCGAAGGCGCAAGCCGCUGUAUAUGCACUGACGCCUGCCCGGUGCCGGAAGGUUAAGAGGAUCCGUCAGCCCCUUUUGGGGUGAAGCGGUGAAUUCAAGCCCCGGUAAACGGCGGUGGUAACUAUAACCAUCCUAAGGUAGCGAAAUUCCUUGUCGGGUAAGUUCCGACCUGCACGAAUGGCGUAACGACUUCCCCACUGUCUCGACCAGGAGCUCGGCGAAAUUGCAGUACGAGUAAAGAUGCUCGUUAAGCGCAGAAGGACGAAAAGACCCCGGGACCUUUACUAUACCUUGGUAUUGGCGUUAGGCGCGGAUUGUGUAGCAUAGGCGGGAGGCUUCGAAGC
Molecule: ribosomal RNA, 2311 nt
Filed under: Bifidobacterium pseudocatenulatum
Lineage: Bacteria; Bacillati; Actinomycetota; Actinomycetes; Bifidobacteriales; Bifidobacteriaceae
Description: bacterial LSU rRNA
Rfam family: Bacterial large subunit ribosomal RNA
Source: RNAcentral